RNAcentral lists this ribosomal RNA (503 nucleotides) under uncultured bacterium. RNAcentral's name for it is "partial 16S ribosomal RNA". It matches the Rfam family "Bacterial small subunit ribosomal RNA", at positions 30 to 523 of the family's 1533-position model. The record is from RNAcentral.
AUUGAACGCUGGCGGCAGGCUUAACACAUGCAAGUCGAGCGGGGUGAUGGUGCUUGCACUAUCACUUAGCGGCGGACGGGUGAGUAAUGCUUAGGAAUCCGCCUAUUAGUGGGGGACAACAUCUCGAAAGGGAUGCUAAUACCGCAUACGUCCUACGGGAGAAAGCAGGGGAUCACUUGUGACCUUGCGCUAAUAGAUGAGCCUAAGUCGGAUUAGCUAGUUGGCGGGGUAAAGGCCUACCAAGGCGACGAUCUGUAGCGGGUCUGAGAGGAUGAUCCGCCACACUGGGACUGAGACACGGCCCAGACUCCUACGGGAGGCAGCAGUGGGGAAUAUUGGACAAUGGGGGGAACCCUGAUCCAGCCACGCCGCGUGUGUGAAGAAGGCCUUAUGGUUGUAAAGCACUUUAAGCGAGGAGGAGGCUCUUUUGGUUAAUACCCAAGAUGAGUGGACGUUACUCGCAGAAUAAGCACCGGCUAACUCUGUGCCAGCCGCCGCAGUAA